AUGAACGCUGGCGGCGUGCCUAAUACAUGCAAGUCGAGCGAACAGACGAGGAGCUUGCUCCUCUGACGUUAGCGGCGGACGGGUGAGUAACACGUGGAUAACCUACCUAUAAGACUGGGAUAACUUCGGGAAACCGGAGCUAAUACCGGAUAAUAUAUUGAACCGCAUGGUUCAAUAGUGAAAGACGGUUUUGCUGUCACUUAUAGAUGGAUCCGCGCCGCAUUAGCUAGUUGGUAAGGUAACGGCUUACCAAGGCAACGAUGCGUAGCCGACCUGAGAGGGGGAGCGGCCACACUGGAACUGAGACACGGUCCAGACUCCUACGGGAGGCAGCAGUAGGGAAUCUUCCGCAAUGGGCGAAAGCCUGACGGAGCAACGCCGCGUGAGUGAUGAAGGUCUUCGGAUCGUAAAACUCUGUUAUUAGGGAAGAACAAAUGUGUAAGUAACUAUGCACGUCUUGACGGUACCUAAUCAGAAAGCCACGGCUAACUACGUG
This 496-nucleotide ribosomal RNA is filed under the name uncultured bacterium. RNAcentral describes it as "partial 16S ribosomal RNA". It matches the Rfam family "Bacterial small subunit ribosomal RNA", at positions 29 to 507 of the family's 1533-position model. The record is from RNAcentral.